This 121-nucleotide ribosomal RNA is filed under the name Petromyzon marinus (sea lamprey). Lineage: Eukaryota; Metazoa; Chordata; Hyperoartia; Petromyzontiformes; Petromyzontidae. The record is from RNAcentral.
GGAUGUGGCCAAAUCAUCCAGAAUGUGCCCGACCUCAUUAGAUCAUGGAAGCUAAGCAGAAUUAAGCCUGGAGAGUGCCUCGGAUGAGUGACCGCCAUGCAUAAAACAGGUUCUGUGGGUU